GAUGAACGCUAGCGAUAGGCCUAACACAUGCAAGUCGAGGGGCAUCACAUGAAGUAGCAAUACGGAUGGUGGCGACCGGCGCACGGGUGAGUAACACGUAUGCAACCUGCCUUCAACAAGGGGAUAACCCGUUGAAAGACGGACUAAUACCCUAUAACACAGGGGUCCCGCAUGGGGAUAUUUGUUAAAGGACAACCGGUUGAAGAUGGGCAUGCGUUCCAUUAGCUAGUUGGCGGGUAAGGCCCACCAAGGCAACGAUGGAUAGGGGAACUGAGAGGUUUAUCCCCCACACUGGUACUGAGACACGGACCAGACUCCUACGGGAGGCAGCAGUGAGGAAUAUUGGUCAAUGGACGCAAGUCUGAACCAGCCACGUCGCGUGAAGGAAGACGGCCCUACGGGUUGUAAACUUCUUUUGCAAGGGAAUAAGUGGGCCACGUGUGGCCUUUUGCAAGUACCUUGCGAAUAAGGAUCGGCUAACUCCGUG
Molecule: ribosomal RNA, 487 nt
Filed under: uncultured bacterium
Lineage: Bacteria
Description: bacterial SSU rRNA
Rfam family: Bacterial small subunit ribosomal RNA
Source: RNAcentral